GGCCCCGUAGCUCAGUUGGUUAGAGCGCCGCCCUGUCACGGCGGAGGCCGCCGGUUCAAGUCCGGUCGGGGUCG
Molecule: transfer RNA, 74 nt
Filed under: Actinotalea caeni
Lineage: Bacteria; Bacillati; Actinomycetota; Actinomycetes; Micrococcales; Cellulomonadaceae
Also listed under: 12 other names
Description: tRNA-Asp
Rfam family: tRNA
About the family: Transfer RNA (tRNA) molecules are approximately 80 nucleotides in length. Their secondary structure includes four short double-helical elements and three loops (D, anti-codon, and T loops).
Source: RNAcentral